UUUACUUUUCAUACGAUGAGUUUGCUCUUUCAAGUCAAUUUUAUACCCAAAAUCUGAUUUAUUUCUAUCCUAAGUUCAUAAAAUUACCAAAUUGCCAUUAUUCAAUUGAAGAAUCAAAGACUAAAUAAGACACUUUUGUGUUGUCUGACUUGGCAGCACUAGAAACUUUAAUUGACAAAUGUCUGAUUUCUUUUUUUUAUUCCAUGACUCACCAUGUCAAGAACAUUAUAUAAAUUGCCCAUGAAAACCCCAUUGUUAUGCAAGAUCAAAACUCAACUAAUAUUUCCGAUUAUAUUUCCAAAGUUUAAUUUAUUUCCCCUCUCUAUUUUUCCUUGUGCAAAUUCAAGAAACCAUUGAUAUCUACCCAUUUUCUCUCUCCUCCUAUGACCAUCGCGGCUCCACCGCUGCCACCACCUAUUUCCGAUGACUCUUCCCUUUGCCGCCCAGAACCCAAACCCGGAGUCACCUCCUACUCGUCGCCGGGUCCACUCUAACCACCGUUGCUAUGAGUGUUGUUGUUGUUGUGCGGCUCCUUAUUCUUUUCGUUGCUAUGCUACUGCUUAUUGCUUUAUUGAUCUUUUCCAGAUAAAAGCCUAAGCAUAAAGAGGGGUUGUUAGUAGGCCAUGAUAAUUUUAAUAAGGAGUUAGCAAUUUAUUUUGUGGGCUUUGACUAUGAAUACAAGAAAUCAGGGAAGGCCACGUAAGUGUAAGUGCCCUAAACUCCUAAUCUACUAGUCUUUCCCUUUAUUUUGGUAGAAUGAAUUUUAUUAAUUCCUAUGUUUACUUCGUAUAUUGUUGAGGUUUUGGAGUUUGAUUAAAGGAAUUGAAAGCAAUGGUCAAGGAUUAUGGUAUUUAAGUUGAGCUUCGUACUAAAUUAAGCCUACGGAAUUACGGUUGAGGUUCGAUUAAGGAGCUCAAGUUGCUCAAAUGAGAAUUAUUACUGGAGUUGGUUAUUUAUUAUGGAGAUAUCAAGAUGAGAAAUUAUUUAUUAUGGAAAUCUUGUUAUUAAGGUUGUUAUAAGAAUAUUGAUUUAUAUUUAUUUUUGGGAAUAUUAUUUAUUUAUGGAA
Long non-coding RNA from Spinacia oleracea (spinach), 1066 nucleotides. RefSeq lists it as uncharacterized. Lineage: Eukaryota; Viridiplantae; Streptophyta; Magnoliopsida; Caryophyllales; Amaranthaceae. The record is from RefSeq and is a predicted model, not a curated record. The transcript has 2 exons.